Molecule: transfer RNA, 72 nt
Filed under: Trichonephila inaurata madagascariensis
Lineage: Eukaryota; Metazoa; Arthropoda; Arachnida; Araneae; Nephilidae
Rfam family: tRNA
About the family: Transfer RNA (tRNA) molecules are approximately 80 nucleotides in length. Their secondary structure includes four short double-helical elements and three loops (D, anti-codon, and T loops).
Source: Rfam by way of RNAcentral
GGCCCGUUAGCUCAGUUGGUUAGAGCUGUGCUAAUAACGCGAAGGUCGUGGGUUCGAUCCCCUCACGGGCCA